GUAGGUACGUACCCCCGGGUCUGGGAUAGCGGCGGGAAACUGCCGGUAAUACCAGAUAAUGUCUCCGGACCAAAGGUGUGAUUCCACCUGGGGAGCGGCCUGCGGGCUAUUAGCUAGUUGGCGGGGUAACGGCCCACCAAGGCAAAGAUGGCUAUGGGGCGUGAGAGCGUGCCCCCACUCACUGGGACUGAGACACUGCCCAGACACCUACGGGUGGCUGCAGUCGAGAAUCUUCGGCAAUGGGCGAAAGCCUGACCGAGCGACGCCGCGUGCGGGAUGAAGGCCUUCGGGUUGUAAACCGCUGUCGUAGGGGAGGAAGAUCCUGUGAAGAACAGGGUUUGACCGAUCCUAGGAGGAAGGGCCGGCUAAUCUCGUGCCAGCAGCCGCGGUAAUACGAGAGGCCCAAACGUUAUUCGGAUUUACUGGGCUUAAAGAGUUCGUAGGCGGCUUGGAAAGUGGGGCGUGAAAGCCCUCGGCUCAACCGAGGAACUGCGCUCCAAACUCCCAAGCUU
RNAcentral lists this ribosomal RNA (512 nucleotides) under uncultured Planctomycetota bacterium. RNAcentral's name for it is "bacterial SSU rRNA". It matches the Rfam family "Bacterial small subunit ribosomal RNA", at positions 117 to 643 of the family's 1533-position model. The record is from RNAcentral. Lineage: Bacteria; Pseudomonadati; Planctomycetota.